CGGACGGGUGAGUAACGCGUGGAUAACCUGCCUUACACUGGGGGAUAACACUUAGAAAUAGGGGCUAAUACCGCAUAAGCGCACAGAGCCGCAUGGCUCAGUGUGAAAAACUCCGGUGGUAUACGAUGGAUCCGCGUCUGAUUAGCCAGUUGGCGGGGUAACGGCCCACCAAAGCGACGAUCAGUAGCCGGCCUGAGAGGGUGAACGGCCACAUUGGGACUGAGACACGGCCCAAACUCCUACGGAAGGCAGCAG
This 255-nucleotide ribosomal RNA is filed under the name uncultured bacterium. Its description in RNAcentral is "partial 16S ribosomal RNA". It matches the Rfam family "Bacterial small subunit ribosomal RNA", at positions 99 to 354 of the family's 1533-position model. The record is from RNAcentral.